UCCUCCUCCUUGGGUUUGGCUUGCACUUUCUUCUCAGGUCUUUCUCCUCUGAGGCAGAAGAAGCCCCUGGGCCAAGACUGAGAAUUAUUAGUAUUAAUAUUAGUAAUAUUACAUCUUAGUAUCUAGGCAUUAU
Molecule: long non-coding RNA, 133 nt
Filed under: Canis lupus familiaris (dog)
Lineage: Eukaryota; Metazoa; Chordata; Mammalia; Carnivora; Canidae
Description: lncRNA (ENSCAFG00040024966.1)
Source: RNAcentral